This 1588-nucleotide small RNA is filed under the name Arabidopsis thaliana (thale cress). RNAcentral describes it as "ATSL204350". Lineage: Eukaryota; Viridiplantae; Streptophyta; Magnoliopsida; Brassicales; Brassicaceae. The record is from RNAcentral.
UAUAAGUUCUUAUACUCAAUCAUACACAUGACAUCAAUUUAUAUUCGACUCCAAAACACUAACCAAGCUUCUUCUUGCUUCUCAAAGCUUUGAUGGUUUAGCCGAAGUCCAUGUGAGUCUUUGUGUUUGUAUCUUCUAACAAGGAAACACUACUUAAGCUUUUAGGAUAAGAUUGCGGUUUAAGUUCUUAUACUCAAUCAUACACAUGACAUCAAGUCAUAUUCGACUCGAAAACACUAACCAAGCUUCUUCUUGCUUCUCAAAGCUUUGAUUGUUUAGCCAAAGUCCAUAUGAGUCUUUAUCUUUGUAUCUUUUAACAAGGAAACACUACUUAGGCUUUUAGGAUAAGGUUGCGGUUUAAGUUGUUAUACUCAAUCAUACAUAUGGCAUCAAGUCAUAUUCGACUCCAAAACACUAACCAAGCUUCUUCUUGCUUCUAAAAGCUUUGAUGGUUUAGCCAAAUUCCAUAUGAUUCUUUAUCUUUGUAUCUUCUAACAAGGAAACACUACUUAGGCUUUUAGGAUAAGGUUGCGGUUUAAGUUGUUAAUGUCAAUCAUACAUAUGGCAUCAAGUCAUAUUCGACUCCAAAACACUAACCAAGCUUCUUCUUGCUUCUAAAAGCUUUGAUGGUUUAGUCGAAGUCCAUAUGAGUCUUUGUCUUUGUAUCUUCUAACAAGGAAACACUACUUAGGCUUUUACGAUAAGGUAGUGGUUUAAGUUCUUAUACUCAAUCAUACACAUCACAUCAAGUCAUAUUCGACUCCAAAACAGUAACCAAGCUUCUUCUUGCUUCUCAAAACUUUGAUGGUUUAGCCGAAGUCCAUAUGAGUCUUUAUCUUUGUAUCUUCUAACAAGGAAACACUACUUAGGAUUUUAGGAUAUGGUUGCGGUUUAAGUCUUAUACUCAAUCAUACACAUGACAUCAAGUCAUAUUCGACUCCAGAACACUAACCAAGCUUCUUCUUGCUUCUAAAAGCUUUGAUGGUUUAGACGAAGUCCAUAUGAGUCUUUGUCUUUGUAUCUUCUAACAAGGAAACACUACUUAGGCUUUUAGGAUAAAAUUGCGGUUUAAAUUCUUAUACUCAAUAAUACACAUGACAUCAAGUCAUAUUCGACUCCAAAAAACUAACCAAGCUUCUUCUUGCUUCUCAAAGCUUUGAUGGUUUAGCCAAAUUCCAUAUGAGUCUUUACCUUUGUAUCUUCUAACAAGGAAACACUACUUAGGCUUUUAGGAUAAGGUUGCGGUUUAAGUUCUUAUACGCCAUCAUACACAUGACAUCAAGUCAUAUUCGACUCCAAAACACUAACCAAGCUUCUUCUUGCUUCUAAAAGCUUUGAUGGUUUAGUCGAAGUCCAUAUGAGUCUUUGUCUUUGUAUCUUCUAACAAGGAAACACUACUUAGGCUUUUAGGAUAUGGUUGCGGUUUAAGUUCUUAUACUCAAUCAUACACAUGACUUCAAGUCAUAUUCGACUCCAAAACACUAACCAAGCUUCUUCUGGCUUCUCAAAGCUUUGAUGGUUUUGCCGAAGUCCAUUUGAGUCUUUAUCGUUGUAACUUCUAACAAGGAGACACUACUUAGGCUUUGAC